CUCGGGAUGCGGAGGAGCGCCAGAGGUUCAGUGAAAAAAUAAUUGUCUUGCUCCUCACUGUCGAUGCAAUUGAGGGAGUUGAUUUGAUGGUGCGAACUGCAAAGAGGUCAAUGAUAGUCGAACUAGAAGCCAUGCUUGAUGUGGUUGAUCCCCAACCUGCUAAAAGAUCAAUUUCCUUUCGUAGAAGGACGUUCGAUAUGCCCAGUGGAAGCAUCAAUAAGGAAAUUGCAGCUGGUGUAGCUCAGGUAGUCCAGUUGAUUGAUGAAGCAGAGAACAGUGUCAAUGCUUUUGAGGCCUCCGAAUAAAGCAACAUGAUUUCUCAAAGUACUGCCUCUUUCGAGUUUCGAAUAAGGUUCAUGUAGAAGAUGAAGCGGCUUAGUUGACGAGAUGUGUUACAGAGGUUUUGAUUAUGCUGUACUAAGGUUGUUCAGUUUAGUAGUUGAUUUGGUUUUCAGGUGCUUGUAUUGUGG
RNAcentral lists this unclassified non-coding RNA (470 nucleotides) under Hevea brasiliensis (rubber tree). Lineage: Eukaryota; Viridiplantae; Streptophyta; Magnoliopsida; Malpighiales; Euphorbiaceae. The record is from RNAcentral.